GAUGAAGAACGCAGCGAAAUGCGAUAAGUAAUGCGAAUUGCAGAAUUCAGUGAGUCAUCGAAUCUUUGAACGCACAUUGCGCCCCUUGGCAUUCCGAGGGGCACACCUGUUCGAGCGUCAUUUCACCAGUCAAGCUCCGCUUGGUGUUGGGGCCUGCUGCACUGGCAGCCCUUAAAAUCAGUGGCGGCGCCAUCUGGCUCUAAGCGUAGUAAUUCUUCUCGCUAUGGAGUCCUGGUGGAUGCUUGCCAUCAACCCCCAAUUUUUCUAUGGUUGACCUCGGAUCAGGUAGGGAUACCCGCUGAACUUAAGCAUAUCAAUAAGCGGAGGA
RNAcentral lists this unclassified non-coding RNA (328 nucleotides) under soil metagenome. RNAcentral describes it as "partial contains 5.8S ribosomal RNA, internal transcribed spacer 2, and large subunit ribosomal RNA". The stretch from base 1 to 120 matches the Rfam family "5.8S ribosomal RNA", at positions 35 to 154 of the family's 154-position model. The record is from RNAcentral.